RNAcentral lists this ribosomal RNA (403 nucleotides) under Fusobacteriota bacterium. RNAcentral's name for it is "Fusobacteria bacterium partial 16S ribosomal RNA". It matches the Rfam family "Bacterial small subunit ribosomal RNA", at positions 355 to 776 of the family's 1533-position model. Lineage: Bacteria; Fusobacteriati; Fusobacteriota. The record is from RNAcentral.
UGGGGAAUCUUGCACAAUGGGGGAAACCCUGAUGCAGCGACGCCGCGUGAGCGAUGAAGGUUUUCGAAUCGUAAAGCUCUGUCCUAUGGGAAGAUAAUGACGGUACCAUGGGAGGAAGCCCCGGCUAACUACGUGCCAGCAGCCGCGGUAAUACGUAGGGGGCGAGCGUUGUCCGGAAUUACUGGGCGUAAAGGGUUCGCAGGCGGCAUGGCAAGUCCGAUGUAAAAGGCGAAGGCUCAACCUUCGUAAGCAUCGGAAACUGUCAAGCUUGAGUGAAGGAGAGGCAAGGGGAAUUCCUAGUGUAGCGGUGGAAUGCGUAGAUAUUAGGAGGAAUACCGGUGGCGAAGGCGACUUGCUGGACUUCAACUGACGCUGAGGAACGAAAGCGUGGGUAGCAGACAGG